CUCCAUUCAGUAGGACAUAUACUAAAAUUGGAACAAUACAGACAAGAUUAGCCUGGCCCCUUGACAAGGUUAAAACAAAAAAAUAA
Molecule: small nuclear RNA, 86 nt
Organism: Papio anubis (olive baboon)
Lineage: Eukaryota; Metazoa; Chordata; Mammalia; Primates; Cercopithecidae
Source: Ensembl